RNAcentral lists this ribosomal RNA (349 nucleotides) under Bacillus subtilis. RNAcentral's name for it is "bacterial SSU rRNA". It matches the Rfam family "Bacterial small subunit ribosomal RNA", at positions 519 to 866 of the family's 1533-position model. The record is from RNAcentral. Lineage: Bacteria; Bacillati; Bacillota; Bacilli; Caryophanales; Bacillaceae.
GGUAAUACGUAGGUGGCAAGCGUUGUCCGGAAUUAUUGGGCGUAAAGGGCUCGCAGGCGGUUUCUUAAGUCUGAUGUGAAAGCCCCCGGCUCAACCGGGGAGGGUCAUUGGAAACUGGGGAACUUGAGUGCAGAAGAGGAGAGUGGAAUUCCACGUGUAGCGGUGAAAUGCGUAGAGAUGUGGAGGAACACCAGUGGCGAAGGCGACUCUCUGGUCUGUAACUGACGCUGAGGAGCGAAAGCGUGGGGAGCGAACAGGAUUAGAUACCCUGGUAGUCCACGCCGUAAACGAUGAGUGCUAAGUGUUAGGGGGUUUCCGCCCCUUAGUGCUGCAGCUAACGCAUUAAGCA